This 497-nucleotide ribosomal RNA is filed under the name uncultured bacterium. Its description in RNAcentral is "partial 16S ribosomal RNA". It matches the Rfam family "Bacterial small subunit ribosomal RNA", at positions 28 to 507 of the family's 1533-position model. The record is from RNAcentral.
GAUGAACGCUGGCGGCGUGCCUAAUACAUGCAAGUCGAGCGCUCAGACGAGGAGCUUGCUCUUCUGACGUUAGUGGCGGACGGGUGAGUAACGCGUGGAUAACCUACCUAUAAGACUGGGAUAACUUCGGGAAACCGGAGCUAAUACCGGAUAACAUAUUAUACCGCAUGGUUUAUUAGUGAAAGACGGUAUUGCUGCACUAUAUAGAUGGACUCGCGCCUCUUUAGUUAUUUGGUAAGGUAAGGGCUUACCAAGGGGACGAAGCUAAGCCGACCUGGAUGGGGGAUCGGCCACACUGGAACUGAAACACGCUCCAAACUCCUACGGGAGGCAGCGUAAGGAAAUCUGCCGCAAUGGGCGAAAGCCUGACGGAGCAACGCCGCGUGAGGGAUGAAGGUCUUCGGAUCGUAAAACUCGGUGAUUAUGAAAGAACAAUUGGGUAAGUAACUAUGCACGUCUUGACGGUACCUAAUCAGAAAGCCACGGCUAACUACGUA